RNAcentral lists this long non-coding RNA (698 nucleotides) under Equus asinus (donkey). Its description in RNAcentral is "lncRNA (ENSEASG00005030771.1)". The record is from RNAcentral. Lineage: Eukaryota; Metazoa; Chordata; Mammalia; Perissodactyla; Equidae.
CUGGCCCUGAGCUAACAUCCAUGCCCAUCUUCCUCUACUUUAUAUGUAGGACUCCUGCCACAGCAUGGCUAGACAAGUGGUGCCAUGUCCAAACCCAGGAUCCAAACUGGCGAACCCCGGGCCGCCGAAGCACAGCGCGCGAACUUAACUGCUAUGCCACCGGGAUGGCCUCCUAAAUGUGACUUUUAGGAAACAGUGGAUGGGGCUUCUGUGUAGGCAGCUGGCAUGGAGCAUCGAUCUCCCGGGAGCAGGUGGUCCUUCCAUAUGAGGAAACCAAGACCUAGAGAGCCUGUCCAGGAUCCUGCUGGAAAGGAGUGGAACUGGGACUCCUCUCCGAGGCCUGCAACUCCCAAACCGAGGCUGGGACCCACUGGGGCUCUUACAGGCCAGAGGCCUCCACGUGGCAUGGUGGGGGAGGAAGCAGCUGCCAGCCUUCUGAGUGCCAGAGAGCAGGCAGCUGGGCAGCAGCCACCUUCCACAGUCCUUUCCCCUUGGACUCCGGGGAGGGGACGGGGCAGCAGUCCAGCCCUACGCCCUGCACACCUGGACUGGCCCCUCCUCUAGCCCCCUCCUCCCUUGGCCUCACCUCCAGGAGGUGGGGUGGGCAGUGUGUGUGAGGACAGACAUGCCCAGCAGGGCUCCAGGACCCGGGACACCAGGCCUCACCUUGCCUGGCCCACCCGGCUCAUUUCUGUCCU